UACCCGUGCCACAAGUGGUGACCAUGAUUAUUGGGCCUAAAGCGUCCGUAGCCGGUCGGAUGGGUCUUCAGUGAAAUCCAGCGCUAGAUCGUUGGGCUUGCUGAGGAAACUAUUCGACUCGGGACCGGGAGAGGCCAGAGCUAUUCCUGGGGUAGCGGUAAAAUGCUGUAAUCCUUGGAGGAGCGCCUGUGGCGAAAGCGUCUGGCUGGAACGGCUCCGACGGUGAGGGACGAAAGCCUGGGGAGCGAAA
RNAcentral lists this ribosomal RNA (250 nucleotides) under uncultured Aenigmarchaeota archaeon. RNAcentral describes it as "partial 16S ribosomal RNA". It matches the Rfam family "Archaeal small subunit ribosomal RNA", at positions 474 to 724 of the family's 1478-position model. Lineage: Archaea; Nanobdellati; Candidatus Aenigmatarchaeota. The record is from RNAcentral.